Rhipicephalus sanguineus (brown dog tick) is the source of this 1338-nucleotide long non-coding RNA. RefSeq lists it as uncharacterized. The transcript has 4 exons. Lineage: Eukaryota; Metazoa; Arthropoda; Arachnida; Ixodida; Ixodidae. The record is from RefSeq and is a predicted model, not a curated record.
CGGGCGACUUUCAAAGCGGUAAAAAAAGGAAUAUGCGUCGUUCGGGAGCUUCUCAAGAGGUCAAAGAGAGCGGAGGACGGAUGAGCUCUUUCGCCGAUACACAAGGCUUGCCGGUGUCUUCGCCACGUGGCCAUUAAUCAGCAGGACGGCGGGAUAGAGGAGGCCGCAUGGGCCACAUGAAGCGAGGCUGAAUAUUUGAGCCAUAUCCGGCAUAUACUACUGGCGGCACAAGGCCAUCCCUGCAUCUGACUGCCGGCGAAACUGAACAACGAAGACACAGACGAAAAUCUGCGCGUGACCCUCUGCACUGCCUCAUCGACUGAUCGGAUUUACGACACACUGGAACCAUCAAGACAUCAUCUUCGCGACCCGUUGUGUGACAUCAUCAACAACUCAUACUAUCAAUACGACGGCGUGCACGAUUCCGGCAUCGGCUACGGCAGUACAGCAGCGAACAUUUCGUGGUCCCCAAACCCACUCGUUUAUCUUCAGGUGAGAAAGAAUUUUAGAAAACGUUUUCUUAGUGACAUCAUGUUUCUUGUGUUGCUAAAGUGCCCCCCACCGAUAAGUGAUUUAGUUAGCGCAUAUGUGACACCUGCAGAAAAUCUAUUGCUUGCUUGUGAUACUGAAAGAAACCCCGAGCCAAACACGCAGGAGAUUUCAUCGGAGAUGCAUUGUGUGGCGGCGGACCUAACACUAUCAAUAUUUUUUUAAAAGCUAUAAUUUUUUAUGAGCAAUUUCUACUUUCAUAAUUUCUACUUCCUAAAAAGUCAGUGCGUGUCACACGCAGCAAGCCAGAUGAAGCAAUGAAGUACAAAAAUCCGAGCACGAAAGCUAAUGUAUAUCUUGAAAAUAGUUUGAUUAAGCGGCCAAUAAAUAUGAAUACCUUCGAAUGUGAACAGCAAACCUAAUAUAUAUGUACUACGUUACGACGGCUCAAUCACGUUUACCACAAUUAUUACGUGGUCACACACUGAAAUCACUCAAAACGCUUGUUCUCUUUUCAUAAUUUUCGAUUGCAAUAUGCAAAGGUAAUGAAAAUGAUGAACUUACCUUCGAAGAUAGCAUGGGCCUGUGGUUCGUAGAGCCAGUAAAUCCAGAUAAAAUUAUUCACAGAUCAAUGAUGACCGCGUCGAUCCCUGUAGCUUAGCUGAAAGGAAGUUGCGAGGGUGUCUUGCCCGCAAGCCGAGGCGUCCAAGGAGCGCGACAGCCGCUCCACAGAAGCAUACUUGCGCUUGUGUACGCAAAUGUAGCACAUGCAACGAAGCAGCUUCUUCACAGCUGCCCUCAUAGUCUCUAUGACUUACGGCACUCGCAGAACGCGGAAUAAAAGCAAGG